GAAAAUUAAUAAAAUCGGAAACACCAAACGCUAUAAUACAGAUGAAGCUCUGAGACAAAAGCAAAACAAAGAGAUCAAUGGGGUAGAACUUAAAAAGAGAACGAUCAUAUGAAAUUAAAGCAGAUUUCACUUCCAUGAAUUGAACAAAACAGUAGUACAAAGUACUAAUACCUAUGCUCACUAAUGCAGCCUUUUGAGAUAUAAUUAUACGAAAACAAAGCAAAAAUGAAAGCAUAGGACAAAUAAAUGUUAAUGUGACUCCAAUUUGCAGAAUGGAUUUAUGAACUACCGAACAAUAAAUACCUACUACAGCAAAAAUGGCAUUGACAUAAACAAGCAUGCCAUUCUUUGCGUUGUAAACGGAUUGCUCGUAGAAUCUUCUCUUAAGCAUAACAUAAAUAAUGGAUGUAAGUAGUGAAUGACCUAACAAAUUCA
This is a non-coding RNA of Schizosaccharomyces pombe (fission yeast), 435 nucleotides long. NCBI's taxonomy places the organism in Eukaryota, Fungi, Ascomycota, Schizosaccharomycetes, Schizosaccharomycetales, Schizosaccharomycetaceae. The record is from the annotation of a GenBank genome assembly.